GAUGAACGCUGGCGGCGUGCCUAAUACAUGCAAGUCGAGCGAACAGACGAGGAGCUUGCUCCUCUGACGUUAGCGGCGGAAGGGUGAGUAACACGUGGAUAACCUACCUAUAAGACUGGGAUAACUUCGGGAAACCGGAGCUAAUACCGGAUAAUAUAUUGAACCGCAUGGUUCAAUAGUUAAAGACGGUUUUGCUGUCACUUAUAGAUGUAUCCGCGCCGCAUUAGCUAGUUGGUAAGGUAACGGCUUACCAAGGCAACGAUGCGUAGCCGACCUGAGAGGGUGAUCGGCCACACUGGAACUGAGACACGGUCCAGACUCCUACGGGAGGCAGCAGUAGGGAAUCUUCCGCAAUGGGCGAAAGCCUGACGGAGCAACGCCGCGUGAGUGAUGAAGGUCUUCGGAUCGUAAAACUCUGUUAUUAGGGAAGAACAAAUGUGUAAGUAACUAUGCACGUCUUGACGGUACCUAAUCAGAAAGCCACGGCUAACUACGUG
RNAcentral lists this ribosomal RNA (497 nucleotides) under uncultured bacterium. RNAcentral's name for it is "partial 16S ribosomal RNA". It matches the Rfam family "Bacterial small subunit ribosomal RNA", at positions 28 to 507 of the family's 1533-position model. The record is from RNAcentral.